UUUCCGUAGGUGAACCUGCGGAAGGAUCAUUAAAGAGUAAGGGUCUUCGGGCCCGAUCUCCAACCCUUUGUUUAACUACCAUGUUGCUUUGGCGGGCCCGUCUCACGACCGCCGGAAGUUUGGCUUCGACCAAACUUCUGGCCCGUGCCCGUCAGUGGCCCCUUCAAAUUCUUGAUCAAGUAUGAUGUCUUAGUUAAAAACUUAAUAGUUAAAGCUUUCAACAACGGAUCUCUUGGUUCUG
This 241-nucleotide unclassified non-coding RNA is filed under the name plant metagenome. Its description in RNAcentral is "partial contains small subunit ribosomal RNA, internal transcribed spacer 1, and 5.8S ribosomal RNA". The record is from RNAcentral.